UACGUAGGGUGCAAGCGUUAAUCGGAAUUACUGGGCGUAAAGCGUGCGCAGGCGGCAGGAAAAGUCGGAUGUGAAAUUCCGGGGCUCAACCCCGGAGCUGCAUUUGAAACUAUCCAGCUAGAGGUUAGUAAGGGAAAACGGAAUUCCACGUGUAGCGGUGAAAUGCGCAGAUAUGUGGAAGAACACCGGUGGUGAAGACGGUUUUCUGUGCUAAACCUGACGCUGAGGCGCGAAAGCUAGGGGAGCAAACAGG
Molecule: ribosomal RNA, 253 nt
Filed under: uncultured bacterium
Lineage: Bacteria
Description: partial 16S ribosomal RNA
Rfam family: Bacterial small subunit ribosomal RNA
Source: RNAcentral